This 110-nucleotide ribosomal RNA is filed under the name Salinimicrobium catena. Lineage: Bacteria; Pseudomonadati; Bacteroidota; Flavobacteriia; Flavobacteriales; Flavobacteriaceae. The record is from RNAcentral.
UAAGGUGGUUAUAGCAACGGGGCUCACCUCUUCCCAUUCCGAACAGAGAAGUUAAGCCCGUUAGCGCAGAUGGUACUGCUAUCUUGUGGGAGAGUAUGUCGCCGCCUUUU